CGCUUGGGUGCUCCACUUGGCAGGUGUAAACCUCUCCACUCCGAGGAACUGUUUCCAGCAUCACCAGGGUCUGGAAGGUCCAGUCUCCAUUCUGGAUCAGGCCUGUGGACACCAUCCCAGCCUUCUCUUCCUGGCCGUUCAGGAACCACCUGACUUCAAUGCUGCCUGGAUAGAAACCACUCACAGAGCAGACCAGGAGGUUGUGGUGCUGCAGGGGCUGGGUCUUUGAAGGAUAUACAGUCACCU
Molecule: long non-coding RNA, 246 nt
Filed under: Homo sapiens (human)
Lineage: Eukaryota; Metazoa; Chordata; Mammalia; Primates; Hominidae
Description: HSALNT0104856
Source: RNAcentral